AACGAACGCUGGCGGCAUGCCUAACACAUGCAAGUCGAACGAAGCCUUCGGGCUUAGUGGCGCACGGGUGCGUAACGCGUGGGAAUCUGCCCUUAGGUACGGAAUAACUCAUGGAAACGUGUGCUAAUACCGUAUGAUGUCUUCGGACCAAAGAUUUAUCGCCUAGGGAUGAGCCCGCGUUGGAUUAGCUAGUUGGUGAGGUAAAGGCUCACCAAGGCGACGAUCCAUAGCUGGUCUGAGAGGAUGAUCAGCCACACUGGGACUGAGACACGGCCCAGACUCCUACGGGAGGCAGCAGUAGGGAAUAUUGGGCAAUGGGCGAAAGCCUGACCCAGCCAUGCCGCGUGAAGGAAGACGGCCUUAUAGGGUUGUAAACUUCUUUACUACGCGAAUAGAGGUUAGUACGAGAUACUAAUAGGAAGGUAGUGUAGUAAAAGCACCGGCUAACUCCGUG
This 454-nucleotide ribosomal RNA is filed under the name uncultured bacterium. Its description in RNAcentral is "bacterial SSU rRNA". It matches the Rfam family "Bacterial small subunit ribosomal RNA", at positions 29 to 507 of the family's 1533-position model. The record is from RNAcentral.